ACGAACGCUGGCGGCGUGCUUAACACAUGCAAGUCGUACGGUAAGGCCCUUUCGAGGGUACACGAGUGGCGAACGGGUGAGUAACACGUGAGUAACCUGCCCACAACUUUGGGAUAACGCUAGGAAACUGGUGCUAAUACUGGAUAUGUGCUCCUGCUGCAUGGUGGGGGUUGGAAAGCUCCGGCGGUUGUGGAUGGACUCGCGGCCUAUCAGCUUGUUGGUGGGGUAGUGGCCUACCAAGGCGGCGACGGGUAGCCGGCCUGAGAGGGUGACCGGCCACAUUGGGACUGAGAUACGGCCCAGACUCCUACGGGAGGCAGCAGUGGGGAAUAUUGCACAAUGGGCGCAAGCCUGAUGCAGCAACGCCGCGUGCGGGAUGACGGCCUUCGGGUUGUAAACCGCUUUCAGCAGGGACGAAGCUUUUUGUGACGGUACCUGCAGAAGAAGCACCGGCUAACUACGUG
RNAcentral lists this ribosomal RNA (464 nucleotides) under uncultured bacterium. Its description in RNAcentral is "partial 16S ribosomal RNA". It matches the Rfam family "Bacterial small subunit ribosomal RNA", at positions 29 to 507 of the family's 1533-position model. The record is from RNAcentral.